This 460-nucleotide ribosomal RNA is filed under the name uncultured bacterium. Its description in RNAcentral is "partial 16S ribosomal RNA". It matches the Rfam family "Bacterial small subunit ribosomal RNA", at positions 338 to 795 of the family's 1533-position model. The record is from RNAcentral.
CCUACGGGUGGCAGCAGUGAGGAAUAUUGGACAAUGGGCGAAAGGCUGAACCAGCCAAGUCGCGUGAAGGAAGAAGGAUCUAUGGUUUGUAAACGUCGUUUAUAGGGGAAUAAAGGUAUCCACGUGUGGAUAUUUGUUUGUACCCUAUGAAUAAGCAUCGGCUAACUACGUGCCAGCAGCCGCGGUAAUACGGAGGAUGCGAGCGUUAUCCGGAUUUAUUUGGUUUAAGGGGUGCGUAGGUUGUUUUUUAAGUCAGCGGUGAAAGUUUGUGGCUCAACCAUAGAAUUGCCGUUGAAACUGGGAGACUUGAGUGUGUUUGAGGUAGGCGGAAUGCGUGGUGUAGCGGUGAAAUGCAUAGAUAUCACGCAGAACUCCGAUUGCGAAGGCAGCUUACUAAGCCAUAACUGACACUGAGGCACGAAAGCGUGGGGAUCAAACAGGAUUAGAUACCCUGGUAGUC